This 469-nucleotide ribosomal RNA is filed under the name uncultured bacterium. Its description in RNAcentral is "partial 16S ribosomal RNA". It matches the Rfam family "Bacterial small subunit ribosomal RNA", at positions 28 to 507 of the family's 1533-position model. The record is from RNAcentral.
GACGAACGCUGGCGGCGUGCUUAACACAUGCAAGUCGAACGAUGAAGCCUUAGCUUGCUUUGGUGGAUUAGUGGCGAAUGGGUGAGUAACACGUGAGCAACGUGCCCAGGACUCUGGAAUAACCGCGGGAAACCGUGGCUAAUACCGGAUAGGUGCCGAGGCCGCAUGGUCUUCGGUUGGAAAGUUUUUGCGGUUCUGGAUCGGCUCACGGCCUAUCAGCUUGUUGGUGGGGUAAUGGCCUACCAAGGCGACGACGGGUAGCCGGCCUGAGAGGGUGACCGGCCACACUGGGACUGAGACACGGCCCAGACUCCUACGGGAGGCAGCAGUGGGGAAUAUUGCACAAUGGGCGCAAGCCUGAUGCAGCAACGCCGCGUGGGGGAUGACGGCCUUCGGGUUGUAAACCUCUUUUAGUAGGGAAGAAGCGCAAGUGACGGUACCUGCAGAAAAAGCACCGGCUAACUACGUG